GUUUGAUCAUGGCUCAGAACGAACGCUGGCGGCAGGCCUCAAACAUGCAAGUCUAGGGGACGUAGCAAUACGUCACCGGCGGACGGGUGCGUAACACGUGGGAAUAUACCUUUCGGUACGGAACAACGCAGGGAAACUUGCGCUAAUACCGUAUACGUCCUUACGGAGAAAGAUUUAUCGCCGAAGGAUUAGCCCGCGUUCGAUUAGCUAGUUGGUGAGGUAAUGGCUCACCAAGGCAACGAUCGAUAGCUGUUCUGAGAGGAAGAUCAGCCACACUGGGACUGAGACACGGCCCAGACUCCUACGGGAGGCAGCAGUUGGGAAUCUUGGACAAUGGGGGAAACCCUGAUCCAGCCAUGCCGCGUGAGUGAUGAAGGCCUUCGGGUUGUAAAGCUCUUUUACCCGGGAAGAUAAUGACUGUACCGGGAGAAUAAGCUCCGGCUAACUUCGUGCCAGCAGCCGCGGUAAUCAGCU
Molecule: ribosomal RNA, 474 nt
Filed under: uncultured bacterium
Lineage: Bacteria
Description: bacterial SSU rRNA
Rfam family: Bacterial small subunit ribosomal RNA
Source: RNAcentral